RNAcentral lists this ribosomal RNA (1419 nucleotides) under Triticum aestivum (bread wheat). Its description in RNAcentral is "partial small subunit ribosomal RNA". The record is from RNAcentral. Lineage: Eukaryota; Viridiplantae; Streptophyta; Magnoliopsida; Poales; Poaceae.
AUGAUGGUCCAGAGCAAGUUUCUGCUCAAGCGCCGCACGUUGGUGGCAGCCAUGGUGCUGGACCUGCUUGGCCUCGUCAUCGCCUAUGCUGCCGGGUGCACCAGGGAUACCAGCACAUCCAUCUAUGUCGUUGCGGUGGCUUGCCUUGUCCUCUCCUAUGCUGUCGUCCAUAUCGCGUUAGGAGGAGAGAAGGAGAACAUGGUCACUAGACCUGUUCAUGACCUUGAUCCUGCUACGGUUGAUCCUGCUCCUUCUACUCCUGUUACUGCUACUGCUACCGCUACCACUGCUCCUGCUCCUGCUCUUCUUGUAGGAGGAGAAGGAGGACAACGUCAGCAGCGGCGACCACCACGAAGCAAGGAGCAGCUAGAUGACAAGCGUCAGGUGUUGCUGCUAAUCGCCAUCUUAGCCGGGGCACUUACCUACCAAGCCGGGCUGACCCCGCCUGGGGGCUUCUGGCAAGCGGACGAUGAUAAGCUUGGACACCGCGCGGGCUACCCAGUCCUCCUCGACAACUACCCGCGUCGCUACAAGGCCUUCUUCUACUGCAACGCGGCGAGCUUCAUGUCGUCGGUGGCUCUCAUCCUCCUCCUCGUGAACCGCAAGUUGUACAGGUUGGGUAUUCGGUGCUACGCGCUCCACGUGUGCAUGGCCGUGGGCAUGUUGGCGCUCAUGGGUGCCUACGCUUCAGGGAGCUCCCGCCAUCUCAAGACCUCCAUCUACGUGCUGACGCUGGUGGUGGUGGUGUCAGCCUCCAUACCCCUGCAGGUAGCCAUCUUCUGGUACUUCCGCAACCACGCGGACAACCGUCAAGAUUCAUUAAGAAUAAGACGACGACGAGCACGUGGACAAGAAGGCCCUGAUAAAGAGAAAGACGAGGAACUUGAGUACCUGAUGCUGCUAGCGGUCCUGGCUGCGAGCGUGACGUACCAGAGCGGCCUGAGGCCAGCGGGCGGCAUGUGGCAGGAGGACAGUGCCGCCUACUCCGCCGGCAACCCCAUCCUACGCGACAUCAACAAGCGCCGGUACGACAUCUUCCUGUAUAGCAACUCCACUUCGUUCAUGGCGUCCGUCGUUGCCAUCGUCAUGCUACUGCCAUUGACGCUGAGCGACGACGUCAAAUGGCUACAACGCUGCUUGCCAUUCCACAAGGUGGACCUCAAGUGGUCGCUCUGGCCGGUCCACACGGCCAUUUUGCUGGACAUGCUCGGCCUACUUGUGGCCUAUGCGGCAGGAAGUACCAAGAAGUGGGAGUCGUCCAGAAAUGUGAUAUUACUCGUCCUCCCCGUCCUAGCCUACAUUGCGCUCUACGCAAUGGCGGCGGCGAUAUACAUAUACAUCCGCCGUGGAUCCUCCCAGUCACAGUCACCGAGCAGGCAAGCAGGCCAACAAGCAACCAGCGUCGAGUCUUCCUCUUAG